CCGAGUGAUGGCGGCGUGGGGACCCCCGGCCGAAAGCCGGCGGCUGCAGCGGCGGCGACCGGGCCGCGGCUGAGGCGCGGGAGGGCCGGAGCCGCAGCCCGGCGUGGUUUCUGGCGAGCGGAAAAGAUGGGGGGGCGGGGAGGGGGGCUGAAACCGUGAUCGUUGAGCCCAGGAAACGCCUGCGAGCCGCUCGCGGCGUACGGGGCUGGCGACACUCCUGGGGUGAUGGCAGGAGAAUGAGGAAGAUGGUGACGGUCCCCGGAGGUGUUUUCGUUUCUGUCUUUCUGAUGUUUAAGCGGCUGAGAGUGUGGCGGGAGAUGGGACGGGAAUGAAAACCUCCGCGGCUGUUUUGGGAAGAGAGCACGCAGAGAAAUGGGGAAGUCCUCCCUGCGGCGAGCUCAGGGGGUCGGCGGGCAGGUGGAGAGGAGGUGACAGACCCCGCGGGCCUGCAACAGCCGUGUGGAUCGCGAGGGGGACGAGACUUAACUUCCUCGACUUUCGGACUAGAGAACCCCUCGCAUCUUCCCUCGCUCAGGACCGCCGUAUUUUUACCCAGCUUGUACUCGGUCUGCUAAGUGGCGUCGCCAGGUGGCAGGAAAUCAAGGAAUACAUAAAGCCGCCCCGCACCCCCCCAGGAUGGAAAGCCAGAACCUUGAGACUCAAACAGUGCUGCUUCAGUCCCAUUACCUUGAGGACUUCCCCCGAACUCUGAACACCUUGAGCCUUCUGCUUUAACAACUGCAUGGAGUGGCGUGAACAAAUAAAGCGUGUGUCUGCCCAAAGAGAGGGAAAUAAAAGGAGGCCCCACCAUAAAGCUUGGGCUCCACAGAGCUACAUCUUCAAUACAAGGGUAAAUGAGAAAUGAAACCCGCCACGAGUAAGGGGAAAGUGAAGAAACUUGCUAGGGGAAGGGGGAAAAAAAACCGCCUUGAGAAUUUGUAACCAUGAACCAGCCCUUAUACAGGGCAAAUUCAUGCCACCUGUACUGGGAAAAGCUUUAAGUGGGAAAUUUAAUUUGUAGCAGCCUCAGGUUGGUACGCUCCCAGUUUACUGGUAAAAGCAAAUAUCCAAAUAUACUGGGAUUUAUUUUCAACCCAGGCCCUAAAGAAUUCUUGAAGAUAAAGUGUCAGGAAGAAUAAGCUAAUAGUCAAAACACACAAAGGCACCAUGAAUGAGAUAUUAGAAAUAUAGAUUAUAGAAA
This is a long non-coding RNA of Orcinus orca (killer whale), 1201 nucleotides long. RefSeq lists it as uncharacterized. The record is from RefSeq and is a predicted model, not a curated record. The transcript is spliced from 2 exons. Lineage: Eukaryota; Metazoa; Chordata; Mammalia; Artiodactyla; Delphinidae.